Molecule: ribosomal RNA, 492 nt
Filed under: Triticum aestivum (bread wheat)
Lineage: Eukaryota; Viridiplantae; Streptophyta; Magnoliopsida; Poales; Poaceae
Description: partial small subunit ribosomal RNA
Source: RNAcentral
AUGGUGGGCAAGCCUAUGUGGGAGUUAUGGUGGUGGUGGUUGAUGAAGAAGCAAUCAUCCCUAAGUAGCCUAGACACCUUAGGAGACUCAAAUCACAACUCAAACAACCACAAAUGCUAUAAGGGACAAAAUUGGUUAGGUUGCGGAAGUAUGUGGUGGUUAUGCGGAGGUUGUGGUGGAAGCUCUAGGCAAAGAUGCCAAAGUUCCAAAAAAUUGAUUGAGUCAAAAGAUGUUGGUGGUAUUUUUUUGGGAAUGGCGAUGUCAAUAGCUUCAAAACGAGCUAAAGAACGUCAAAAACGGACUCCGGAUGAAUUAGUUAUGGACAAAAUGGUGAAAUGGGAAAGGCUAAAAUGCCAGGGGUCGGACAUCCGGGCUUGGGGGCCGGAUAUCCGGGGGCUGAUGUCCAGAACCGUGCGGAAUUUGUGCUCCAGGAGCCGGAUGUCCGGCUUGGGGCCCGGAUGUCCGGCCCGAUGGCCCGGAUGUCCGGCCUGA